Molecule: signal recognition particle RNA, 155 nt
Filed under: Trichobilharzia regenti
Lineage: Eukaryota; Metazoa; Platyhelminthes; Trematoda; Strigeidida; Schistosomatidae
Description: Metazoan signal recognition particle RNA
Rfam family: Metazoan signal recognition particle RNA
About the family: The signal recognition particle (SRP) is a universally conserved ribonucleoprotein. It is involved in the co-translational targeting of proteins to membranes.
Source: Rfam by way of RNAcentral
GUUGACCGGGCGUCCACACUAAGCACGGUGCCGAUAUGGAUGAUCUGUCAGAGGACGGUUUGUCCAGGUCGACUAAAGAGGGGCGCACCACCCCAGGUAGGAAACCCAGAAGGCAGAAGUCCCCACAUGUUGCGAUGGCGGGAUAGCGCCUGUGA